GACAGGAAAUCGAACGUCAAUCGCUUCAGCUUCCUAGACGUCGGCUCCCCUAGAAGCCGACGUCUAAUGGGUAUUCAAAAAGUCAUUUUAAAUGUUAACUUGGACGUCAUAUUAGUGAGAUAAUUGACGUCUAAGGGACUAUACACGUCGGUUUCUGGAUCAACCGAUGCCAAAUUUCAUUUUAAAUAAACCGCAAACUCUUCGCGGCAUUUAGUUUCUAAUAUCGUCUUCCUCUUCUCCUUUUUAUCUUACGACACCUCUUCUUAUUCUCGCUUGCGACACAUCUUCUUUUUCUCUCUUGCAGCAUUCCAUUAUUGUUUCUUAUAUCUGUAUCGUUUGCCUCCUCUCCUUUUUCUCUCUUGCGGCAUCCCAGGUGCGUUGUUUUUUUUUAAUGCUUACCGUUUAAACUUUGUUUAGUCUUUCAUCGAUUAUUUUUUGGUUCAACUGAUUAAAAUUUGCUUUCUUUGUGUUGUGUUUUAGUGCAAUUUUAUUCCUUUCUUGGGGUAACGUAGUAACACAUUCUCCAUUUGCUAACUGCCUCCUAGAAAAAAACGGCAUCUAGUGAAUUUCUUUUGAUCAUUUCAACCCAAAAACGACCCUGGGUCGUUUCCUAGUUAUCCU
This 621-nucleotide long non-coding RNA is filed under the name Vigna radiata. RNAcentral's name for it is "long non-coding RNA (VRAD_LNC000457)". The record is from RNAcentral. Lineage: Eukaryota; Viridiplantae; Streptophyta; Magnoliopsida; Fabales; Fabaceae.